RNAcentral lists this ribosomal RNA (253 nucleotides) under uncultured bacterium. Its description in RNAcentral is "partial 16S ribosomal RNA". It matches the Rfam family "Bacterial small subunit ribosomal RNA", at positions 524 to 776 of the family's 1533-position model. The record is from RNAcentral.
UACAGAGGUCCCAAGCGUUGUUCGGAUUCACUGGGCGUAAAGGGUGCGUAGGUGGUCGGGUAAGUCUGAUGUGAAAUCUCCGAGCUUAACUCGGAAAUGGCAUUGGAUACUAUUCGGCUAGAGGGUUGGAGGGGGGACUGGAAUACUUGGUGUAGCAGUGAAAUGCGUAGAUAUCAAGUGGAACACCAGUGGCGAAGGCGAGUCCCUGGACAACUCCUGACACUGAGGCACGAAAGCUAGGAGAGCAAACAGG